Molecule: long non-coding RNA, 740 nt
Filed under: Sinocyclocheilus grahami
Lineage: Eukaryota; Metazoa; Chordata; Actinopteri; Cypriniformes; Cyprinidae
Description: lncRNA (ENSSGRG00000011785.1)
Source: RNAcentral
UGACAUUAUCUAUCAGACAGGAAGUGCUCAUGAAAUUCUGAUGUCUUCCACAGUAACGAGACUCUCCUGUCCGCGGGACUCGUGAGCGCCCCCUGUAGUGUGGACCUGCAGCAGUACGCUUGCUCUUCGCUCACAGGCUUCACUGCUGCAAACCUGGCUGAACUCCUGAAGUGUCAACUAUCCAGCAGCAGCAGUUACUCCAAGGAGAUCUGGAAACUGCUUCUCAAUAAAGCAAAUGAUGUUCUGGAUCAAGCCCUCAUCAUCUUUUCCAGCGAAGCAGCAAAUAUGUCUCAGCCAAUCAGAGGUGAUGUUGUGUCCCAAGUGCUGGAUGUGAUUGGAGAGCUGAGACUGGAGACCAUCAGUUCUGACCAAUGGAGUGACAUCGAUUUCAUCAGCAUGUUGUUUGAUCAAAAUCUGAAGCCGUUUUUACCGUUUGCGUCAUCAUCCCUACUGCGGUGCACCAGCAGCAAAAACCUCAGCUGCCAAACCUACCAGCACAUUCUGUCGAAGGUCAAACUUGUCAAUGAGACUCAAGGAAGAAACAUGGUGAACUUCUUCAUCCUGCCCUUCCUCAGAAGAAACACAACAGAUGCGGGCUGUGUGUCGAAUGCUAACAACAGCGCUGAGUGGCUACAGAAGAACUUUGGCCCGUUCUCUCGGUUUGUGUCUCUCACAGAUCUGCUCUCCAUCAACAGACUCUUUGAUCCCGUAUGUCUUCACAUCUUCACAUGUGAUUUCAU